AUCGAUGAAGAACGUAGCGAAAUGCGAUACUUGGUGUGAAUUGCAGAAUCCCGUGAACCAUCGAGUCUUUGAACGCAAGUUGCGCCCGAGGCUAUCUGGCCGAGGGCACGCCUGCCUGGGCGUCAUGCCU
Molecule: ribosomal RNA, 130 nt
Filed under: Asparagus racemosus
Lineage: Eukaryota; Viridiplantae; Streptophyta; Magnoliopsida; Asparagales; Asparagaceae
Description: 5.8S ribosomal RNA
Rfam family: 5.8S ribosomal RNA
About the family: 5.8S ribosomal RNA (5.8S rRNA) is a component of the large subunit of the eukaryotic ribosome.
Source: RNAcentral